UCUCCGGCCACCAAACCGGCGUCGAAGGUUCGGUUUUUGACAUAGAUCAUUUCCCCUAAGGUCUUUCAUUUCAAUUUGCAGUGUAGAGGUCGAAUUAACAAUUUCAAUUUCUAGGGUUCUUGGAAUUUCUGGAAAUUUUUCACCGGCCAAAUUGGAGCUCUUCCAGGGCAAUGUUGCGAGCUACGGCUAGAUGAAGGAACUCGUUUGCGUGGUCGCCCAAUAGUACUUUUGCAGGCGCUAUUAGUUGAGGUCGGGCGUACAUGGUUCGAGGCAUAGUUGACGAAUAGCUUCCGCACUUCUUUGUUUGGCUAUGAUCUAUUGUGG
This is a long non-coding RNA of Rosa rugosa (rugosa rose), 324 nucleotides long. RefSeq lists it as uncharacterized. The transcript has 3 exons. Lineage: Eukaryota; Viridiplantae; Streptophyta; Magnoliopsida; Rosales; Rosaceae. The record is from RefSeq and is a predicted model, not a curated record.